CCCCCUGUUUAACCAAAACCAUUUCUUUUUGAUUGGAAAUAUAAAGUCUGACCUGCCCCCUGAUUAAAUUUGAAGGGCCGCGGUAUUUUGCCCGUGCAAAGGUAGCAUAAUCAUUAGUCUUUUAAUUGAAGGCUGGUAUGAAUGGUUUAACGAAGUAUUAACUGCCCCAUUAUAAUUUUUUGAAUUUAACUUUUUAGUCAAAAGGCUAAAAUGAAAUUAUAGGACGAGAAGCCCCUAUAGACCUUUAUAUAUAUAUUUAAUAAUUAUUUUUAGUUGUUUUUGAUGAUUUUUAGGUAUAUUUAUUUGGUUGGGGUGACUUGAAGAUUUAAUAAACUCUUUAUUUGUAAAGACAUAAAUUUAUGGGAGAUUGAUCCAUUAUUAAUGAUUAAAAGAUUAAGUUACCUUAGGGAUAACAGCGUA
This 420-nucleotide ribosomal RNA is filed under the name Libanasidus vittatus (king cricket). Its description in RNAcentral is "partial 16S ribosomal RNA". The stretch from base 1 to 210 matches the Rfam family "Archaeal large subunit ribosomal RNA", at positions 1888 to 2143 of the family's 2987-position model. The record is from RNAcentral. Lineage: Eukaryota; Metazoa; Arthropoda; Insecta; Orthoptera; Anostostomatidae.